This 995-nucleotide ribosomal RNA is filed under the name uncultured bacterium. Its description in RNAcentral is "bacterial SSU rRNA". It matches the Rfam family "Bacterial small subunit ribosomal RNA", at positions 8 to 979 of the family's 1533-position model. The record is from RNAcentral.
AGAGUUUGAUCAUGGCUCAGAAUCAACGCUGGCGGCGUGCCUCAGACAUGCAAGUCGAACGCGAAAGCCCCCUUCGGGGGGCAAGUAGAGUGGCGCACGGGUGAGUAACACGUAGGUAAUCUACCUUUGGAUGGGGAAUAACAACCGGAAACGGUUGCUAAUACCGCAUAAUGCAGCGGCACCUAAUGGUGACAGUUGUUAAAGCGGGGGAUCGUAAGACCUCGCGUCUGAAGAGGAGCCUGCGGCAGAUUAGCUAGUUGGUAAGGUAAAGGCUUACCAAGGCGAUGAUCUGUAGCCGGCCUGAGAGGGCGGUCGGCCACACUGACACUGACAUACGGGUCAGACUCCUACGGGAGGCAGCAGUCGGGAAUUUUGGGCAAUGGGCGAAAGCCUGACCCAGCAACGCCGCGUGAAGGAUGAAAUCCCUCGGGAUGUAAACUUCGCAAGAACGGGAAGAAUAAGUAAGAGCUAACAUCUCUUACGAUGACGGUACUGUUUGUAAGCUCCGGCUAACUCCGUGCCAGCAGCCGCGGUAAUACGGGGGGAGCAAGCGUUGUUCGGAUUUACUGGGCGUAAAGGGCGCGUAGGCGGCCACCGCAAGUCGACUGUGAAAUCUCCGGGCUUAACUCGGAAAGGUCAGCCGAUACUGCGGGGCUAGAGUGCAGAAGGGGCAACUGGAAUUCUCGGUGUAGCGGUGAAAUGCGUAGAUAUCGAGAGGAACACCUGCGGCGAAAGCGGGUUGCUGGGCUGACACUGACGCUGAGGCGCGAAAGCUAGGGGAGCGAACGGGAUUAGAUACCCCGGUAGUCCUAGCCUUAAACGAUGAAUGCUUGGUGUCUGGGGUUUUAUAGUCCCCGGGUGCCGUCGCUAACGCUUUAAGCAUUCCGCCUGGGGAGUACGGUCGCAAGACUGAAACUCAAAGGAAUUGACGGGGACCCGCACAAGCGGUGGAGCAUGUGGUUUAAUUCGACGCAACGCGAAGAACCUUACCUGGG